RNAcentral lists this ribosomal RNA (270 nucleotides) under uncultured bacterium. Its description in RNAcentral is "partial 16S ribosomal RNA". It matches the Rfam family "Bacterial small subunit ribosomal RNA", at positions 32 to 296 of the family's 1533-position model. The record is from RNAcentral.
AAUCAACGCUGGCGGCGUGCCUAACACAUGCAAGUCGAACGAGAAAGUGGAGCAAUCCAUGAGUAAAGUGGCGACCGGGUGAGUAACACGUGACUAACCUACCUUCGAGUGGGGGAUAACCUAGGGAAACCUGGGCUAAUACCGCAUAACAUCUUUGGAGUGGAAAUUCUGGAGAUCAAAAGAGCAAUUUGCUUGAAGAGGGGGUCGCGGCUGAUUAGCUAGUUGGCGGGGUAACGGCCCACCAAGGCUUUGAUCGGUAGCCGGCCUGAG